RNAcentral lists this long non-coding RNA (9661 nucleotides) under Daucus carota (carrot). RNAcentral's name for it is "long non-coding RNA (DCAR_LNC000766)". Lineage: Eukaryota; Viridiplantae; Streptophyta; Magnoliopsida; Apiales; Apiaceae. The record is from RNAcentral.
CAGUGUAGUCACUUUGGUUUGAUCCAUAGAUACCAACCUCGACGCUCCGAAAUCUGAAAUUUUAGCAACAUUAUUAUCAUCCAGCAAUAUGUUUGCUAAUUUAACAUCUCUGUGAAUUAUAGGUAUAGAAGCUGCAGAGUGAAGAUAUGCAAGGGCGCCAGAAGAUUCAGCAGCAAUUCUUAACCGAUUCUCCAGUGAUAACCAGGAUGCGCCACCAACAAUAUUGUGGACAUGAUCCAAUAAAGAACCAUUGGAUACAAGUUCAUAUACUAAGAGUGGUACCUCACAUUCCAAACAACAUCCCAAAAGUUUAACCACAUUUCUGUGAUUAACUUGUGUAAGAAUCACCACUUCAUUUAUAAAUUGCUCUACUUGACUCUCAUCCAUUUGCUUGGACUUUUUGAUAGCAACCACACGAUUGUCACUUAGAAUUCCUCUGUAAACUACACCGUAACCACCUUGUCCAAGAAUCAUAUCAGCUGCAUAGUUGUUUGUGGCUCUCUUUAGUUCUUCAUUGCUGAAAACUUUUGUAUUGCCUUCUCUACUUUGUUGACCUAACAAGAGACCGCCAUUUUGCCGGAAGAAUUUGUCUCUUUGUUGUGCACGUUUUCUCUUCUUUAAGAUGAAAUAUAACCAAUUCAUUCCAACGAGUAACGAGAGGCAACUGAAUCCGAAACCUGCACCUCAAUAUACAGAAUUGUUUUCAUUAUAAUCCGGAUUGAUAUAAUAGUGAAAGCUAAAGUAGCUACUUACUACGAAUGAGGCUGAGUAAAGAAAACUAAUUUACCUAAUACAUACUUGAUGACUUGGGACUUUUGGGACUUGUUAGCAAUGCAUUUAUCACCUUUCCGGUAGUAUCCAAUUUGACAAGAACAGUAAUAACUCCCAUCAAUAUUGUUGCAGAUCUGAUCACAAGUAUUUUUUUGCUCAUCCAUACAUUCAUUGAUAUCUUGCAAAAGGAAAAAAUCAAACAAAAUUUAGAUAAUUCGGGAUUAAUACAAAAUUAAGAUUACGAUUUUUCUAGUGUGUGUCAUGGGCACAUGCUAAGCACUAAAUUCUAUUAGUUUGAGACAUUUUGAUUGGCUCUUGUUUCUUAAUAAUGGUGGACCUCCUGUGAAUACAACAACCACACCAAUCAAAAUGUCCCAAACCUUUAGAAUUUAAUGCUUAGCAUGUGUCCAUUGGCACACACUAGACAAACCCGAAUAGUUAAUUACCAUAGCAUCCUGGAGUGAGAUAAGGAUUUCCUGCAAAGCCUUGUUUGCAUCUGCAGCGGUAUCCAGUCGACGAGGUUGCAUUGAUGCAUUCACUAUUACUGAAUUUGCAAGCAUAAGAAGUUUGGUCCCGCUGUGCUUCACCGCAAGUUUGAUUCGCAAUAAACCAGUCUAAUACUAUAGGUAUAUCUCGAAUCUUCUGCCUGAAGUAUGAAUCGUUAAGAUAUGACAUGCCUUGAAAUCUAAAUCUGCUUUUCUCACCAACGAAUGCAAACCCACAUUGGUUAAAGUAGGAGACAUUUCUGUAGCGUUUAUAGGUCAGAAGGUCGAUAGAGAAAUUCGCGUGACUCGUGAUGGGUAUUUGACAACAACCGGUGCCAGAACACUCGUCUUCACGAAUCUCCUUGUCAGGUGGGCAUGUGGCACUGCAGACCUGGCUUGGUUUGCUGGUUGUGUGGUUCAAACUGCGAUCGUUGUAUAGGUUGGCAUAGUCAUCACAACCAACAACAGUAAGCACAUUUACAGUGGAAUACGCAAAUGAAGUCUCAUCCAAUCCAUACUCUACAUGAAUGAGUUGUUCAAUUCCGUCGGCAGGUGGCCCAGAUUGAUUGUAGCACUUGGAGGCCUGAAAAGAGUUAAGUCGUAACUCAGUGUCGGAUAUAUCAUGAAUAUGAUGUGUCAUAUAUGGAUCUAAUGGAAAGGCCAAAGGAGGAUUGAUGUCAGUGCUGCAUUGAACUUCAAAGGCGGGACUGAUGGCACAAUCCAGACCUUCUGACUUGAUGCCAAAGGGAUAUGGUAUUAGCAGGUUUCCGCACUGCCUUUGACAUCCCGGCUUGGUAAAGACUUCAGGCUUCAUGAUGGUGUGGUUAGCGGUGUCUGGGGAAAGCACUUCAUACCCCCAAGAACAGCCCAGUAAAACAACAAGAAGAAUUAGAAACAAACGCAUCUUCAUCUUCAGUUUUCGAUAUAAGAAUUUUAUGUCAAUUGCGUAGUAUAUUGGAUUACUGGUAGUCGUUCAAAUUUUAUGUUGUCAGAUAUCACUAAUGGCAUUAAGUAUAGUGGUUGGCUAAAUUGACAUUACUUUAAAUUUGCUAACCGGUUCGACGAUAUUGUUUAUAUUGGUGAAUUAUAAUUUAAUAAUAAUAUAUUAUUAUUAUUAUUUAAGAUUGUUAUAAAUUUAAUAUGUCACUUUAAUAUGAUAAUAAGUGUUGUGUAAUCUUUUUACAAAUUUCUGAUCACUAGUGAAUCGAAAAAUAUAUUCAUCCAUAAGAGGUUUGGCUAUAAUAAUAGACAAAGGAGGGGUGAGUAUGGUUGGAGUGUGAUUUUUCUGAAUAGUUUGUCUAUAUUUUUUAUUUUUGAUAUGCCAAGUAAGUUUUUAGUUAAGGACUUUUCAAGGCUGCAGCAUCUAUAAAAAAAAUUCUAUGAUUAAAGAUGUUCUUAGCGUGUUUUGUUAGUCCAUGCAUGGCCCCUGCUUUUAUACUCCCUCUGUCUCAAUGAAUUAUAUACAUUGGGAUUGGACAAGGAGACCAAAAAAAAUGUAAUAAAUGAGUAAAGUUAUAUGGAAAGUGAGUAAAGUGGUGAGACCCAUAUAUUUUUUAAUAAUAAAUUUGAGAUAUUGGAGUAAAGCAGUGGGUGUAAUAGUGUUUUUUUUAUUAUUAUUAUAGAAUGGAGAUAGUGGGAGAAUGUAGUGGAUGUAGUAGUGUUUUAUAUUAAAAAAAUUGCUAUUUUGAGAAUGUAUAGAAAUGAUGGAACAUCUCAAAAAAGAAACUGUAUAGAAUUUAUUGGGACAGAGGGAGUAGCACAUUUAGAGUUGUCAGUCCGCGUUGCCGGUGCCAGCUUCAUUGUCAGUAUGUCAUUACUUUUCGUUCUUAGUUCAUUCGUUUGACAAUCUUGCCCAUUCAUUUCCAAUAUUACAAUAUUCAAAUAGAUUGGCCCCCGGUCAUAUCAAAUCAUAAAUUACAAACACGAAUACUUCCUCGUAAGUAACUUGUUUAUAAUUCAAACGAAUUCGUCAAUAAAUGGUUUACUAAACUAUCUGUCUAAAGACCAAGUCUCUUAUAAAGCAAACGUAGGGGAGUAGUGCUAGGUGCACAUAAUUGUGUACAGAAAAUUUGUACAUAAUGAUGUGGCAAGUGAUGUGGUGGGAUUUAAUUGGGGUGGUUGAUGUAAAUGCAGGGGGGCCAUCCAAUUAAAAUCCACCACAUGUCAUUAUGUACAUGUUUUUGUACACAAUUAUGUGCACCAAGCAUUUUCCAACGUAGGGAGUACGUUCACAAUCUUUCUUGCCUGUUCAUUUCUGAUCCUACACUCUUCAAUAGAUUGGCCAACCAUAUCAAAUAAAGAGUAUUUUUUUAAUUAAAUUCAAAUUAUUGAAUUAAUUUUAUGAAUACUGAAUUCUGAAUAUAUAAUUGUAUAUACUCACCUCUUAUAACUUAUACAUGAAUAAUUCAUAAGUUCAUUGCAGAAUGCAGAGCAUUUAAAGGGUGAAUGUUGUCUAGCUACAACUUCGCUUCACUAAAAACAAAAAAGAUCUAAUAAAACCUCAAAGGUUGUACUGCAAGUAUUACACCACCAUCAGAAUUCAAAAAUGCCAAUUGCACCGAAUCAAAGGACUAUGAUCUGACUUCUGAGUAAAAAGUUUGCAGACAUUAAACGCCAUGAUCAAACAGUGAAUGUCACCCACCCUGUUUUGAAUUAGAUUCUACUUUUAAUCCAACAGAGGUUUUUGGUGAUAUAAAACAAUUUAUGUAUAUAUAUUAUGGCCGUGAUCAAAUUGAAAUUACAACCAGUAAGAGAUAAACUAAUUAUCUAUCCCACUCUUGCAUAACCUGACAUCACCCGGGCUUAUUACCAAAAUCCAUCACCAGGUGGACAAAACUUAACAUCAAUAAAGAGUGUUUAACUAAACUUAUUUUUAUUCAACUUUCAAGGUUUAUUUUUGAAAAAUAUAUAGAAUUUUACUUUUUUUUUGUAAUAUGAAACAUUUUUUAACAUCUAUAUCCGAAAAUAUUAUAAGAAAAUAUAUUCUUUUGAAAGAACCGGCCUUAAAUUUGAUAAGUAAAAUUUGUCACUCUAUAUAUUAUUACUUCGUAUCAAAUUACGUGAUAUUCUUUCGUAAAACCGUAAGUAAAGUUUGUCACUCUAUAUAUUAUUACUUCAUAUCAAAUUACGUGAUAUUCUUAUAUAAAAGGUUUUAUGCCACACUGUAAGUAAGUAAUAGAAUGACAUGUAAUUUCCCAUCUUAUCAUCUUUCUAUUUUUAAUUGAUAUUGUAAAGUUAGGAAUGUACUUUUUAAUAUAAAUUUAAUAUAUUAUCAAUAAUUAUGAAUUUUGAUGAAAUGAAUCUUUUCCAGAUCUAUUGUAUUGUAGGUAAAAUUUAAAUACAAGAUUUUUGAGAAAAUUCUAAAAUCAUCAAAGAUAUCAUUUAAUACAAAAUACUUAAUUAUCACAUUUUACUUUCACUCUUUAAAUUUAAUAGGAUUAUUCAGAUAAUAAGUAAUGUCAUUUAUAUAUUAAAUAAUUUAAAUAUAAUAUAUAAUAAAAGAACUAUUAAAGAUAUAAUUCAAAAUUUAUGAUAGGGAGGGGAGACAAACCAAAUGCAAUGUAGUUGAGAAAAGUCCGUGUUGCAUUGAACUUCAAAGGUGGGAUUGAUGGCACAAUCCAGACCUUCUGACUUGAUGCCAAAGGGAUAUGGUAUUAGCAGGUCUCCGCACUGCUUUUUACAUCCCGGCUUGGUAAUUAAAGACUUCAGCCUUCAUGAUGGUGCGGUUAGCGGUGUUUGGGGAAAGCACUUCAUACCCCUAAGAAAAGCCCAGUAAAACAAGGAGAAGAAUCAGAAACAAAUGCAAUUUCAUCUUCAGUUUUUGAUACAAGAAUUUUAUGUCAAUUGUGUUUGUGUAGUAUAUUGGUAUCCGUUAGAAUUUUAUGUUGUUAUUGCGUUUUGUUAGGGGUCAUUUGUUAACAAGUGAAUGAAGCCGGAUGCGCUGAACGACACACUCAUUUUUAAUUCAGAUUGUUUGACAACUUUUUUUCUAAUCUGGACGAUGCCAAAAACAGCUGGACGAGAUACCAUAGAGAAUAUAGCAGGUGUCGUCCAGAAGUGUAUUGUAACCCAAAACUUGGUUGUAUGGUGGCACUCACAUACAUUUCUUUUAAAAUUUGUUAAAAAUGUGUAAUUGUUCUCUUCUUUUAAAUAAUAAAAAUUACAUAUAAAUGUUAAUAAUAUAAAUUUUGCAUUAGAAUUAGAUUUAAUAUUAUGCAACUGGAAGGUUCACUAUUUUUUAAUAAAAAUAUUUGAAAUUUAUAAAUUUUUAUAUAUUAUAUUGUUAUAUAUAUAUAUAAUAAUUUAGAAUUUUGAAUAUUAAAAAUUUUCACCUUCAUGAAAACUUAUCUUUCAAUUUAUGUUAAUGAGCCGAAUUAUCAAAAAAUUAAUAUUUAUAUCUAUUUUUUUGAAGAUAAAUAUUUAUAUCUAUUAUUAAAUAUUUAAAAUAUGUAUUUGAUUAUUAAGAAAAUAUAAAAAUUCAAAAAAGAUAAAAUAAAUAAAAGUCACCAGAUAUAAAUAUACAGAUGACAAAAAAUAUAAUUAAUUUAAGAGUAUUCAUGUAUUAUAAACCAGUCAUCCAGAUAUAUUAGAAAAAAAAUAACAAACAACAACAAUUCAUUCAUUCAGAAAUUCACAUCAUUCAGAAAUUCAACAAAAUAACUGUUCAGAUUUAACAAAUGACCCGGUCCACGCAUGGCUGAUGGCCCUCAAAUUUAUAAUUAUCGUUACUUUUCCGACCUAGUUCAUACGUUUCACAGUCUUGCCCAUUCAUUUUCUACAGUACUACAAUCUUCAAAUAUUACAUUCAUUAUUAUGGGGUAGAACUCAUUUUUAAAUUAUGUAAUAUUUACAAUCCAGCAGACCUCCUCACUUGAUGCCAAACGGAUAUGGUAUUAGCAGCUUCCCGCAUUUGCUUUCAAAUCCCGGCUAGAGCCUUCAUGAUGGUGUGGUUGAUGCUCAACUCUAUCUAAUACUUAAAAUCAAGAUGCUCUUUAUCAAAAUUAUAAUUGUUUGAUUCAUUACUUAAAUACUAAGUGGACAACUACAGAAUUUUUUAAGAGCCUCUCCAUCACUGAAAAAAAUAUAUAAAAAUAAAUUGUUCUAAAACAAUUAUAGAUACUAAUUUUCUUAUUAUUAUAGUUUCAUUGUAUUUUACUCUCAGAUAAAGAGAAUCAGAAGAAAAUUGAUAUAGGGGGUGUUUGGCUAGGCUUUUAAGCUCAGUUUCUGGAUUUAUAAGUUAGAAGCACUUAUUUGUAUCGUUUGUGUAAAAAGUCAAGAAGCACUUAUAAAAAGUUAGGGAUGCUAGCUUUUGUUUCACGACUUCUACAUAUUUCCCAAACACUAUAAUCACUUAUAAGUCUUAACUUGCUUCUUACUUCUAUUUCAUUUCUUUACUUUAAGCAAAAAACAUUUAAUUUAAGCUAAGCCAAACGGCCCCAUAAUAUGUAUAUGUUAAUUCAAAAUAAGUUAAGAGGAAUUUAAAAUUAUGCAUAGAACAAGACUCUUCAAUUUUCACUGAGUCACUCUCUUUGAAGCUCCAAUUUCAAAUAUCCAUUUAAUAUUAUGAGUUAACAAGUUUUAGAAAUGCUUUAGAUUUUGGUGGACAGGAAAAAACUCAACGUCAAUGCAGUCAAGAGAAACGCUUUUUUCCUUUUUCCUUUACAGGAUGGAAAGUGUUUAGUACUCUCUACUCAACGCAAGUCAUAUGCAUGCCUUGUACUUUCAGAAAUUGUCCUGAAAUUUAACUUUCAGUUGAAAUUUACAAGUUAAAUGACUAUGAAAUCACACCGUUUAUUCUACUUUCCAGGAAACGUGUUAAACUUGCAUAUUGAAGACCAUGCAAAAUAUCGGUCAAAUCACCCCAUUUAACUAGUCAUAUAUUUCUACACAAUAAUUGAGAGUUUUAUGCUAUUAUUUCUAGAAUAAUAAUGAUAUUUGAAUUUAUCAUCAUAAAGAUCGAGGGAAAGUCAUGUCAAGAAAUCUUUGUAUUGAAAAAAAAAAUUUAAAAUCAAUAUACUUAUAUAAAGGAGAAGCGAGGGACGUGUAGGUGGCGCCUCUCACAUCGCUUUGUUCUAUUUUUCUAAUUUUCUGAAAUUUUUGGAUGAAAAUAUCAAAAAUUAGAACUGUCUUUUUUGAUUUCGGAUAUAUUAGAAGUAAGUUUCAGAAUCUGAUUUUGGAUUUUGUUUCAAGUUAUUUAUGGUAUAUAGUAACUUGAAAGUUUUAAUCUGAUUUUGUUUCAGAUUAUUUAAUUAUGGAAAAAAGUAGCACACAAGUCUCUCUGCACCUAUAAAUACCCUUAUAAGUUGUAGAGUUUUUGAUCAUCUAAACACAACCUUUUCUCUCUCAAUACCACAACCCUACAUCGACGAUAGUUAUCUUGCUCAAUUUCUAAUUCGAUGGUGUCGUUCUUCUACAACGAUAACUGAAGGCUGUUUAUACGGUAUUAAAAAAUAAAGGUUGUUGCAAGCAAAGUUAGUUAUAGCCCGCUAUGUAACACGGGAGAAGAAUAUAGUCCUGGCAUGAUAUUGAUGGAUGAUAUUAAUAAAUUAACUAUCAGUGAUUUAUGUUUGUUGGUUAUUCUUCUAUAAUAUUUAUUUUGUCAAUCGGACAUGUUUGUUGUUGUUAAUUUUUAUAUGAUUUACUUUGUAUAAAGGAAAAUAUUAUCCAUGCAUUAUCACUUCAUCCAUUCAAGUGAAGGCUGUUUAAGUAAGGGUAGUUAUAGACCGCUAUCUCACGGAUUUAAGUUGGAUGUUUUUGUGCACAAUCAAUCCAAAAAAAUUGGAGGAAGGUGACAAUGUAAGAACAUGAUUAAAAAAAAACCCAAAUAAAAUUAAGAUUCAUCGUACUUUAAAUUGUUAAUUACGUGUAGAAAUUUAUUUUCAUUUUUCACCAUGAAUUAUAGUCCAAUUUUGUAAAUUUAUAUAUUAGUAUUGGUAUUACGUCAAGAUUUUUAUCAUAUAAAAUUUAUUUUAUCCUACAAAUAUUAAUUUUGAAUCAUUAAUACAUUUUUUAUAAACAGUCAUAAAAUUAUUGCAUUCUACAAACAAUAAUAUUAAAUCAUUAAUAUAAUUUUUAUAGGCCGCCGCAGCGCGCGGCUUCUCAACUAGUAUUUGAAAAGGGUAAAAUAUUCACAGUUGAGAAAUAAUAUUAAAUAAUUUAAUAACAUAUCACAAAUUUAUAUAAUUAAUAAUAUUAAUAUAUUAUAAUUAUUUUAUAAUAAUACUUAAUAUAAAUAUAAUUAUAUAAUAUAUAAAAUAAAACAUAGAUCAGUGCGGCGGCGGGCAACACAUUCUAAUUUGAGUAAACACAGUUACACAGUUGAUCAUUUAACAAGGACGUAAAAUGUAAAAUUACGGAUGUAAUAUACGAAACUAUAGCCAUGUUAAUACAUAAUUUCUUCAACAAAUCAUUUCACCCGUACCCUAAUUUACAACUUAUAAAGAAAAGUACAAUUACCUAGACGAGUUCAAAACAAUAAAAAAUUGUUAAAAGUUGAGGGAACUAAGAGCAAUUUUCCACACCUUAGCUCUCGAUUAUCUUACACACUUCUACGCAUUUUCAUCACACAUCACACACUUCUACAAAUUCCAUCACCACUGUUAAACAGGCAUGGCAAAACAUAAUUAUAUUUUUUAGUCAUUCAUAACACAAAUUAAGAUAUCUUAACGAGGGCUUAACUGAUCUGAGUCAUUACCAAAGUUACUGCCAGAACUCAUUUCAAUAUCAUAGAUAUUAGAAUGCCUGAUCUCACUAUGACCUUUUAAGCUCGUCAUCUCUUCAUGGCCUUGUUGAUUAGCCCAAGGAUGUUUAGUAAAACCCCUCAAAUUUUGUAGUUCCAUAGCAACUUCCAUCAUUGUUGGUCUUUCCUCACCAUUAAGGUUAAGACACCUCCUCACAAGUAGAGCAGCUUUUUCAAGUUGAUCGGGCGUUCCUUCCUUGACAAUUCGAGGCUCUAGAAUAUUGAGAAAUAAACAGUUUUUGUUCAUGGAGGUAACAAAAAAUGUGGCAAGAUUUCUUUCUUCCUCAGGGUUAGCCAUGCAUAUUGGUUUUCUCCCGGUUAAUAGCUCUGCAAGAACCACUCCAAAACUAUAAACAUCACUUUUAGGGGUCAGUCGGCCGCUAUAGAAAUACUCAGGGUCCAAGUACCCUAGAGUACCUUGGACUAGUGUAGUCACUUUGGUUUGAUCCAUGGGUACCAACCUCGACGCUCCAAAAUCUGAAAUUUUAGCAACAUUAUUAUCAUCCAGUAAUAUGUUGGCUAAUUUAACAUCUCUGUGAAUUAUAGGUAUGGAAGCUGCAGAGUGAAGAUAUGCAAGGGCGCCAGAAGAUUCAGCAGCAAUUCUUAACCGAUUCUCCAGUGAUAACCAGGAUGCGCCACCAACAAUAUUGUGGACAUGAUCCAAUAA